AGACACAAUAUGAAUCUCUGUAGAAGUUCUCUGGGAAUUAAUAGAUAUUCAGAGUAAAUAUUUGCUGGCUUGAUAGUUUGGUAAUUUACUUAUGUGAUGUGAAAAUGCAUCCAGUAGAUCUGUACCAAAAUAAAUCACGAAAGGACUUCUCAGAGAUUUCUGAUGCUAAUGACAUUUGACUAACUCUGAGGUAGAUUCUAAUCAGCAAUUAAAAGGUUAAAUGUUUUAUGUCAUCCUUCUAAGCUAUUUAUUCUCCAAUUUUUCAAAGUCAAUUGUGAUUCAUGUGAAAGAGACCUGUUGUCCCUGCCUGGUUAAGAUUCAUGUCAAUAAUAUUCAAGUUACUUCAUGACCUUGUUCACUGCUGAUCCUAUGUCACAUCAAAAUUUCGGCAGGAGAUCAAUGUCAAGUACAUUUUCACCUUGCCAACCAGCUUUAUUUGCUUUAUUUAGUCUCUGAUCUGCUGUCUACACUUCCUGAUAUUUGUAAUCAUCUCUGUGGAACUUUUUUUUUUUUCUUCUCUGCAACUUCUAUAUCUUUAGGAACAUUCUACCACUGGUGCAUUGAAAGACCUUGUCACAAGCAAAGGUGCACCAUCAAAAGUUGAUUUCAUUGCUUUGAUGUAUUCAAAACUUGACAUAAAUGAAAUAGCCCUGAGAAAUCUGAAGGCUUUACAAGCUGAUAAGCUUGUAUUUGGGGAUUAACUUUCAGAGAAACUGAGAAAAUGCAGAAUUACAUAUAGUAGGCUUGAUCUAAAGACUUGCAAAAUUAGUGCAAAUAAUUCUGCGUCUUGGGUGAACAGUAUGAAAGUAAGAGAGGACAGAAGACCUCUCCUCAGUAAGAGAGGAUGGAAGAGCAACCCAAGUAAACAACAACAACAAAAAGUUUCAUGCUGGCAUUUCAUUCAAAAUAUCUAUCUUUGUUCGGAGUAUUUUAUUAAUAAUAUCAGAAGCCAUUUCUCUUCAACAUUUUUUCCCUCUGUUUUCACAUUUACUCAGUGAUAUCAGUGAAAUGUUGUAAUGUUAUGGAAAAAACGGACAGUCAAAUAUUUAGAGAUUUGGAACUGAAUAUUAUUCAUUCAUACUAUUAUGAAUUACACACCAAAUCUGGAAGUCCAUAUUAAGCAAAAAGUCCCAUGGUUUCAAGGAUUGCCUGGACUGUGUGAAAGAAGUGAGAAAGAAGGCUUGAUUUUCUCAGUGAUAAUGGUAUCACCAGGAGAAGGUGGGAAAGGACAAAGUUCUUCCUCAGACUACUUUGAGAAGAGUCCAUAAAAGGAUGACUGCUUUACCGAACCAUAAGGACUGAUUGUUGUACCAACAUGAACAUAGAUUUGCAAAGACGUGAGGAACAGUGCUGGCAUAGCUUUAUUUAACAUCUGUCCUUCCAUGGAAUGAGUACAAAGAGAAUGAAGCUAUAUGCCUGAAGCUUUGUCUUCAAGAGUGCUUUAUGUGGACAGUUGUGCCAGGAGUACACACACAAAAAAAAAGGCUGAACUUUGAGUGGCACUACAUCAAAAUUCUCCUUACUGCUCACAGUGCCUCCCAAGAACAGCUCAAGCCCGUGUGAAAAAACUAGUGUUUGAUCACAACAAUUUUAGAGUAAAUUACAGACUUGUCAUAAAAAUGAGAAUUGUAAUUAUAUCUACAAGUAUAUACCUCAACUUUAAACAGAGCUAACCAAUAUUUAUAAUUAUCCUAUAAAUUAAGAAAAACUAUACUCUGGAGUAUAAUGAAAGAAACAAAACAAAUUAUAAUGAAGAUAUCUUAAUAACAUACCAAGCUUUAUUGUUCAAGCAAAGGCAAAAUAUCAGUGAAUUUCAGAUUGCG
This 1823-nucleotide long non-coding RNA is filed under the name Anas platyrhynchos platyrhynchos (common mallard). RNAcentral's name for it is "lncRNA (ENSAPLG00000031137.1)". The record is from RNAcentral. Lineage: Eukaryota; Metazoa; Chordata; Aves; Anseriformes; Anatidae.